Molecule: long non-coding RNA, 2209 nt
Filed under: Callithrix jacchus (white-tufted-ear marmoset)
Lineage: Eukaryota; Metazoa; Chordata; Mammalia; Primates; Cebidae
Description: lncRNA (ENSCJAG00000086546.1)
Source: RNAcentral
UUGGCCCUUCCACUGAACGCUUGACCUUCUGAAAUGAAUGGGGACACUUUCUAUAGUUAUUUGAAUUGCGGGAAAGCGGCUCCAGAAUGUCUUGGAGACGUGACUCAGCAAGAUGCAGGUGUCCACGGUGAGCCGACAGCCCCUUCCUCAAUCCAGAUCUCCAGGUGAGCUGACAGCCCCUUCCUCAAUCCGCAUCUCCAGGUGAGCUGACAGCCCCUUCCUCAAUCCGCAUCUCCAGGUGAGCUGACAGCCCCUUCCUCAAUCCGCAUCUCCAGGUGAGCCGACAGCCCCUUCCUCAAUCCAGAUCUCCAGGUGAGCUGACAGCCCCUUCCUCAAUCCGGAUCUCCAGGUGAGCUGCGGCCCCUUCCUCAAUCCGGAUCUCCAGGUGAGCUGACAGCCCCUUCCUCAAUCCGGAUCCCCAGGUGAGCUGACAGCCCCUUCCUCAAUCCGGAUCUCCAGGUGAGCUGACAGCCCCUUCCUCAAUCCCGAUCUCCAAGUGAGCUGACAGCCCCUUCCUCAAUCCCGAUCUCCAGGUGAGCUGACAGCCCCUUCCUCAAUCCCGAUCUCCAGGUGAGCUGACAGCCCCUUCCUCAAUCGGGAUCUCCAGGUGAGCUGACAGCCCCUUCCUCAAUCCCGAUCUCCAGGUGAGCUGACAGCCCCUUCCUCAAUCCGGAUCUCCAGGUGAGCUGACAGCCCCUUCCUCAAUCCAGAUCUCCAGGUGAGCUGACAGCCCCUUCCUCAAUCCAGAGCUCCAGGUGAGCUGACAGCCCCUUCCUCAAUCCCGAUCUCCAGGUGAGCUGACAGCCCCUUCCUCAAUCCCGAUCUCCAGGUGAGCUGACAGCCCCUUCCUCAAUCGGGAUCUCCAGGUGAGCUGACAGCCCCUUCCUCAAUCCCGAUCUCCAGGUGAGCUGACAGCCCCUUCCUCAAUCGGGAUCUCCAGGUGAGCUGACAGCCCCUUCCUCAAUCCCGAUCUCCAGGUGAGCUGACAGCCCCUUCCUCAAUCGGGAUCUCCAGGUGAGCUGACAACCCCUUCCUCAAUCCGGAUCCCCAGGUGAGCUGACAGCCCCUUCCUCAAUCCGGAUCCCCAGGUGAGCUGACAGCCCCUUCCUCAAUCCAGAUCUCCAGGUGAGCUGACAGCCCCUUCCUCAAUCCAGAUCUCCAGGUGAGCUGACAGCCCCUUCCUCAAUCCGGAUCUCCAGGUGAGCUGACAGCCCCUUCCUCAAUCCGGAUCUCCAGGUGAGCUGACAGCCCCUUCCUCAAUCGGGAUCCCCAGGUGAGCUGACAGCCCCUUCCUCAAUCCCGAUCUCCAGGUGAGCUGACAGCCCCUUCCUCAAUCCGGACCUCUGGGUGAGCUGCGGGCCCCUGUCUUUGUCCUGCCCAUGGAUGGUCCAGAUCCUGGGAAGGGUCAGGCUCCCCUAGGCCCCAGAGGCAGUGCUGCCAGGCUCUGGAGUUCCAGCACAGUGUGUGCCAUCCAGUGACCCCAGGCCCUCUGCAGACACCUGCUCUCCAUUCGUGUUCUCCCCCUCUCCUCACUGAUUCCCUCCAGGACUCCUCCCCUCAGCCUGGAAUCCACCUCACUGGCGCCCCAGCUCCUGCCUUCUGCAGCUCUGCCCUGUGAGUGUCCUGAACUCUCUCCAGUGAGGCUGGGCCUGGGGCUGAGCUCUUCCUUCCGAGGCACUGACCUUGGAUUGCUGGGACAGAAUGAGUUUGGCAUACCUGCAGGAUGUCUGUUCUAACACAUGCCCCGGGCAGCUCUCCUAGACCUGAUGUCAGCAGAAUUGGCCUCUCCACCAGGAACCUGUGUGGGAGCUGAAAACGUGGCUGGGAGGGCGCCCAGGAACCUGUGUGGGAGCUGAAAACGUGGCUGGGAGGGCGCCCAGGAACCUGUGUGGGAGCUGAAAACGUGGCUGGGAGGGCGCCCAGGAACCUGUGUGGGAGCUGAAAACGUGGCUGGGAGGGCGCCCAGGAACCUGUGUGGGAGCUGAAAACGUGGCUGGGAGGGCGCCCAGGAACCUGUGUGGGAGCUGAAAACGUGGCUGGGAGGGCGCCCAGGAACCUGUGUGGGAGCUGAAAACGUGGCUGGGAGGGGAUGUGGAUGUCAGCCCUGUGUUCCCAUCUCCGCCAAAUGUUGGAGCAGAUCCUCUCACAGGCUCCAAAUGUGCACGUGCAGAAGGGUUUCGGGAACUUUUGCAGCGCUGCCUCCACAACU